This 74-nucleotide transfer RNA is filed under the name bacterium. RNAcentral describes it as "tRNA-Gln". It matches the Rfam family "tRNA". From Rfam's summary of the family: Transfer RNA (tRNA) molecules are approximately 80 nucleotides in length. Their secondary structure includes four short double-helical elements and three loops (D, anti-codon, and T loops). The record is from RNAcentral. RNAcentral also lists the same sequence under 3 other names.
UCCCCGGUCGUCUAACGGCAGGACAGCGGAUUCUGAUUCCGUCAAUGGAGGUUCAAAUCCUCCCCGGGGAUCCA